UGGGGAAUAUUGCACAAUGGAGGGAACUCUGAUGCAGCGACGCCGCGUGAACGAAGAAGGCUUUCGAGUCGUAAAGUUCUUUUAUAUGGGAAGAUAAUGACGGUACCAUAAGAAAAAGCCCCGUCUAACUACGUGCCAGCAGCCGCGGUAAUACGUAGGGGGCUAGCGUUGUCCGGAAUCACUGGGCGUAAAGGGUUCGCAGGCGGAAAUGCAAGUCAGGUGUAAAAGGCAGUAGCUUAACUACUGUAAGCAUUUGAAACUGCAUAUCUUGAGAAGAGUAGAGGUAAGUGGAAUUUUUAGUGUAGCGGUGAAAUGCGUAGAUAUUAAAAAGAAUACCGGUGGCGAAGGCGAAUUACUGGGCUCAUUCUGACGCUGAGGAACGAAAGCGUGGGUAGCAAACAGG
RNAcentral lists this ribosomal RNA (403 nucleotides) under Fusobacteriota bacterium. RNAcentral describes it as "Fusobacteria bacterium partial 16S ribosomal RNA". It matches the Rfam family "Bacterial small subunit ribosomal RNA", at positions 355 to 776 of the family's 1533-position model. The record is from RNAcentral. Lineage: Bacteria; Fusobacteriati; Fusobacteriota.